GGUGGAAAUAAGGUUAAUAUGAUACAGUGUCUUUAUUAUGACUCAGGUCAAGUCUGAAAUUUCACUUCUAUUAAUCUCCUGAUAAUCAUUUCCUUCUGCCCCAUCCUUAACCAAAGUACUGGAGCAGUAAAUAAAACUAGCUGAUUUUAUUAGGAUAUUAUACCAAUGUCAGUCACAGACAAUUGUAGAAUGUGUUGUUGCUAAGGUGAUGCUUUGUUACCCAGAUUGCUUACUUAGAAGGAAACUUCCAUUCUUCCUAAGUGCUGACUGCUCUUGUGUUAUUAUUUUACGCAUUAAAAAUCGAGGGGGAAAAAAUCCAAAUUAUUUGGAACUUGACAGUCUUACUUUAAGUAAUGCUGAUAUUCACUGAUACAUACUC
This 379-nucleotide long non-coding RNA is filed under the name Bos taurus (domestic cattle). RNAcentral describes it as "long non-coding RNA NONBTAT015895". Lineage: Eukaryota; Metazoa; Chordata; Mammalia; Artiodactyla; Bovidae. The record is from RNAcentral.